AUUGAACGCUGGCGGCAGGCCUAACACAUGCAAGUCGAGCGAGCGGCGGACGGGUGAGUAAUGUCUGGGAAACUGCCUGAUGGAGGGGGAUAACUACUGGAAACGGUAGCUAAUACCGCAUACCAUCAGAUGUGCCCAACUUGGAUUAGCUAGUAGGUGGGGUAACGGCGCACCUAGGCGACGAUCCCUAGCUGGUCUGAGAGGAUGACCAGCCACACUGGAACUGAGACACGGUGCAUACGCCUACGGGAGGCAGCAGUGGGUAAUAUUGCACAAUGGGCGCAAGCCUGAUGCAGCCAUGCCGCGUGUGUGAAGAAGGCCUUCGGGUUGUAAAGCACUUUCAGCGGGGAGGCGUUACCCGCAGAAGAAGCAACGGCUAACUCCGUGCCAGCAGCCGCGGUAAUAC
RNAcentral lists this ribosomal RNA (406 nucleotides) under uncultured bacterium. Its description in RNAcentral is "partial 16S ribosomal RNA". It matches the Rfam family "Bacterial small subunit ribosomal RNA", at positions 30 to 526 of the family's 1533-position model. The record is from RNAcentral.